AUUGAACGCUGGCGGCAUGCUUUACACAUGCAAGUCGAACGGUAACAGGGUGCUUGCACCGCUGACGAGUGGCGAACGGGUGAGUAAUGCGUCGGAACGUGCCGAGUAGUGGGGGAUAACGCAGCGAAAGUUGUGCUAAUACCGCAUACGUACUGAGGUAGAAAGUGGGGGACCUUCGGGCCUCACGCUAUUCGAGCGGCCGACGUCUGAUUAGCUAGUAGGUGAGGUAAAGGCUCACCUAGGCGACGAUCAGUAGCGGGUCUGAGAGGAUGCUCCGCCACACUGGGACUGAGACACGGCCCAGACUCCUACGGGAGGCAGCAGUGGGGAAUUUUGGACAAUGGGCGAAAGCCUGAUCCAGCCAUGCCGCGUGUCUGAAGAAGGCCUUCGGGUUGUAAAGGACUUUUGUCAGGGAGGAAAUCCCUAGUGCUAAUAACACUGGGAGAUGACAGUACCUGAAGAAUAAGCACCGGCUAACUACGUGCCAGCCGCCGCAGUAA
This 500-nucleotide ribosomal RNA is filed under the name uncultured bacterium. Its description in RNAcentral is "partial 16S ribosomal RNA". It matches the Rfam family "Bacterial small subunit ribosomal RNA", at positions 30 to 523 of the family's 1533-position model. The record is from RNAcentral.